Molecule: ribosomal RNA, 1432 nt
Filed under: uncultured bacterium
Lineage: Bacteria
Description: bacterial SSU rRNA
Rfam family: Bacterial small subunit ribosomal RNA
Source: RNAcentral
GCCUAACACAUGCAAGUCGAGCGGUAUUUCCCUUCGGGGAGAGAGAGCGGCGCACGGGUGAGUAACGCGUAUGCAACCUGCCUACAACAAGGGGAUAGCCCGUUGAAAGACGGAUUAAUACCCUAUGACACAGGGGUCCCGCAUGGGGAUAUUUGUUAAAGGUUUACCGGUUGUAGAUGGGCAUGCGUUCCAUUAGCUUGUUGGUAGGGUAACGGCCUACCAAGGCGACGAUGGAUAGGGGAACUGAGAGGUUUAUCCCCCACACUGGGACUGAGACACGGCCCAGACUCCUACGGGAGGCAGCAGUGAGGAAUAUUGGUCAAUGGACGCAAGUCUGAACCAGCCAAGUCGCGUGGAGGACGACGGCCCUACGGGUUGUAAACUCCUUUUGUGAGGGAAUAAAGUGGGUCACGCGUGGCCUUUUGCAUGUACCUUACGAAUAAGCAUCGGCUAACUCCGUGCCAGCAGCCGCGGUAAUACGGAGGAUGCGAGCGUUAUCCGGAUUUAUUGGGUUUAAAGGGUGCGCAGGCGGCGCGUUAAGUCGGCGGUGAAAUUUUGCGGCUCAACCGUAAAAGUGCCUUCGAUACUGGCGUGCUUGAGUGUGGAUGAAGUAGGCGGAAUUCGUGGUGUAGCGGUGAAAUGCAUAGAUAUCACGAAGAACCCCGAUUGCGCAGGCAGCUUACUAAACCAUAACUGACGCUCAUGCACGAAGGCGUGGGGAUCGAACAGGAUUAGAUACCCUGGUAGUCCACGCAGUAAACGAUGAUUACUGGCCGUUUGCGAUAUAAUGUAAGCGGCUGAGCGAAAGCGUUAAGUAAUCCACCUGGGGAGUACGUUCGCAAGAAUGAAACUCAAAGGAAUUGACGGGGGCCCGCACAAGCGGAGGAACAUGUGGUUUAAUUCGAGGCAACGCGAAGAACCUUACCCGGGCUUGACAUCACCGAAAGGAUCCAUGCUUACUGGAAACAGUAAGAUUAGGAAGACAGGUGUUGCAUGGCUGUCGUCAGCUCGUGUCGUGAGAUGUUGGGUUAAGUCCCGCAACGAGCGCAACCCUUAUCACCAGUUACCAUCGGUCCGGCCGGGGACUCUGGUGAAACUGCCGCCGACGAGGUGGAGGAAGGUGGGGAUGACGUCAAGUCAGCAUGGCCCUUACGUCCGGGGCUACACGCGUACUACAAUGGCUGGUACAAUGGGGAGCAAGACCGCAAGGUGGAGCGAAUCCUCAAAACCAGCCCCAGUUCAGAUUGGGGUCUGCAACCCGACCCCAUGAAGGCGGAAUCGCUAGUAAUCGUAGAUCAGCAUGCUACGGUGAAUACGUUCCCGGGCCUUGUACACACCGCCCGUCACAUGACCCGAGUCGUCUGCACCCGAAGCCGGUCACCCAACUCGCAAGAGAGGGAGCUGUCCACGGUGUGGAGGGUAAGGGGGAUGA